This 277-nucleotide ribosomal RNA is filed under the name uncultured Prevotella sp. RNAcentral describes it as "partial 16S ribosomal RNA". It matches the Rfam family "Bacterial small subunit ribosomal RNA", at positions 79 to 355 of the family's 1533-position model. The record is from RNAcentral. Lineage: Bacteria; Pseudomonadati; Bacteroidota; Bacteroidia; Bacteroidales; Prevotellaceae.
CUUUCCUUGAUGACGACUGGCGCACGGGUGAGUAACGCGUAUCCAACCUUCCCAUAACUACGGGAUAACCCGUUGAAAGACGGCCUAAUACCGUAUGACAUCGUUUGCUGACAUCAAAUAACGAUUAAAGGUUUAGCGGUUAUGGAUGGGGAUGCGUCUGAUUAGCUUGUUGGCGGGGUAACGGCCCACCAAGGCUACGAUCAGUAGGGGUUCUGAGAGGAAGGUCCCCCACAUUGGAACUGAGACACGGUCCAAACUCCUACGGGAGGCAGCAGUC